GGGCAUCUUUAGGCUCUCCUCACGCCAC
This 28-nucleotide small RNA is filed under the name Bombyx mori (domestic silkworm). RNAcentral describes it as "ovarian small RNA-5465". Lineage: Eukaryota; Metazoa; Arthropoda; Insecta; Lepidoptera; Bombycidae. The record is from RNAcentral.